Molecule: unclassified non-coding RNA, 378 nt
Filed under: uncultured Actinomycetes bacterium
Lineage: Bacteria; Bacillati; Actinomycetota; Actinomycetes
Description: uncultured actinobacterium contains 16S-23S intergenic spacer region
Source: RNAcentral
UCCGAGUUGGCCCCGGCAGUCUCCUACGAGUCCCCGGCAUUACCCGCUGGCAACAUAGGACAAGGGUUGCGCUCGUUGCGGGACUUAACCCAACACCUCACGGCACGAGCUGACGACAGCCAUGCGGCACCUUCCGGCCCGUCCCGAAGGAAAGCUCCCUUUCAGGAGCCGGCAGGCCGGAUUUAGCCCAGGUAAGGUUCUUCGCGUUGCAUCGAAUUAAACCACAUGCUCCACCGCUUGUGCGGGCCCCCGUCAAUUCCUUUGAGUUUUAGCCUUGCGGCCGUACUCCCCAGGCGGGGCGCUUAAUGCGUUAGCUGCGGCACGGAACACGUGGAAUGUGUCCCACACCCAGCGCCCAACGUUUACGGUGUGGACUAC